This is a long non-coding RNA of Austrofundulus limnaeus, 497 nucleotides long. RefSeq lists it as uncharacterized. The record is from RefSeq and is a predicted model, not a curated record. The transcript is spliced from 3 exons. NCBI's taxonomy places the organism in Eukaryota, Metazoa, Chordata, Actinopteri, Cyprinodontiformes, Rivulidae.
GUCAUGUGACUGAAGGUCGUCUGACUGUAGGUCAUGAACUGUAGGUCAUGUGACCGAAGGUCAUGUGACUGAAGGUCAUGUGACUGAAGGUCGUCUGACUGUAGGUCAUGUGACUGUAGGUCAUGUGACUGAAGGUCAUGUGAAUGAAGGUCAUGUGAGGACCAGAGGAGGGGCUGUAAACCAGCUGUAUGUGUCGCCCCCUGCAGGCCGGAGCUCAUCCUGACUGUGCUGGACGGCCUGGAUGUUCAGGUCCCACAUAACAUUUCUGACUUUCUCAUGCAGCAGCGAGGUGCGCGCUUCCUGGAGUGUCGUUACCGUGACGCUCGCAGCUUCCUGCAGCUCUACCCUGAAGACACUUCAGCUGCAGCUGUGGAUUUUCACAGGAAGGCCAAGUCGUUGCUUCAGUUAGCUUCUCGGACACUGGCUGCGCUCCACAUCCCGUUCUGGAUCAGCAGCGGCACCUGCCUAGGUAACGUUAGUGCUAACAUGCUAACAUG